This 460-nucleotide ribosomal RNA is filed under the name uncultured bacterium. Its description in RNAcentral is "partial 16S ribosomal RNA". It matches the Rfam family "Bacterial small subunit ribosomal RNA", at positions 338 to 795 of the family's 1533-position model. The record is from RNAcentral.
CCUACGGGAGGCAGCAGUGAGGAAUAUUGGUCAAUGGACUAGAGUCUGAACCAGCCAAGUAGCGUGAAGGAUGACUGCCCUAUGGGUUGUAAACUUCUUUUAUAUGGGAAUAAAGUGUUCCACGUGUGGGAUUUUGUAUGUACCAUAUGAAUAAGGAACGGCUAACUCCGUGCCAGCAGCCGCGGUAAUACGGAGGAUCCGAGCGUUAUCCGGAUUUAUUGGGGUUAAAGGGAGCGUAGGUGGAGUUUUCAGUCAGUUGUGAAAGUUGCCGGCUCAACCGUAACAUUGCAGUUGAAACUGGCAGUCUUGAGUACAGUAGAGGUGGGCGGAAUUCGUGGUGUAGCGGUGAAAUGCUUAGAUAUCACGAAGAACUCCGAUUGCGAAGGCAGUUCACUGGACUGCAACUGACACUGAGGCUCGAAAGUGUGGGUAUCAAACAGGAUUAGAUACCCUGGUAGUC